UACGGGGGGGGCAAGCGUUGUUCGGAAUUACUGGGCGUAAAGGGCGCGUAGGCGGUUCGCUAAGUUGGAUGUGAAAACUCUGGGCUUAACCCAGAGCCUGCAUCCAAAACUGGCGAACUGGAGUACUGGAGGGGAAAGCGGAAUUCCUGGUGUAGCGGUGAAAUGCGUAGAUAUCUGGAGGAACACCGGUGGCGAAGGCGGCAUCCUGGACCGAUACUGACGCUGAGGUGCGAAAGCGUGGGGAGCAAACAGG
This 253-nucleotide ribosomal RNA is filed under the name uncultured prokaryote. RNAcentral's name for it is "partial 16S ribosomal RNA". It matches the Rfam family "Bacterial small subunit ribosomal RNA", at positions 524 to 776 of the family's 1533-position model. The record is from RNAcentral.